GACACACACACGUGCACACCCAUGUGAAAUGAAAGCUGCCUUGAUGUCAGGUUGGAUUUGAGCAACUUCUAACAAAUUUGAAUAAACCAACAAACCUGGCUGCAUGGCAGAUAAGAUGGACAUUUGCAUACAUGCAGUGAUUGAAUUGGAAUAUUGUGAGCCUGACAUGAAUCAGCAGAUACUUCCAAAGCAAUGAUGAUAAUGAUAAUAAAAAGAUAUACAAAUUCCUCUGGCUUCAUACAGACCCUCUUUGCACACAGCUGCAGCCAACACAAGGGAAACCAGAAUGAAAUGUGGUGGGAAGAACCUUGGGAUUUUUAAAUAUCUGCAUAAAGAAGAAAGCAAAAUGAAUUGUUCACUCUGUUUCAAGGUCAGAUUUUGCCAAGAGACUGCUUUUUCAUCCAUUUAAUAAUAAUUCAUACCGUUUAAUGAUAUUUGGCUUAAAUGUUGUGUAUUUCUAAGCCUGGGGAUUUUCAAAUAUAUAAAUUCUGACUUUUUUAAAUGUUAGUACAAUUUCCCCUAUAAAGCAGGAAUUACUUUGUUUUUUAAAAAAGAAAUGCAUAUACACACAUGGUCACACAUGGUUUAAAAAUGGUAAUAUUUCUUCUUUCUGCAUCCCAAACACAAAUAAGAACUAGAGCAGUAGAUCUCCCAAUCUCUGCCAGUUGGAGCAUGAGAAGAAGGCCUUGGGGCAGACUCGGUGAGCCCAAUCGUUAAUCCUCUCUGGCAACCAGGUUCUUCAUAUGGAGAGCCCUAGCUGUACUUGUUUAGAUUUGUUAUCCCAUUUUUCUCCUGUCCUUUUUUCCCUUUUCCAAAGGUGAUUGGAAAAUAACUUUCAUUCCACUCAAACUUCUGGACUUAUUCCAUUUAUCUCAGGAGAUUUUCUUAGUAUUUAGAAAAAUGACAUUGUGAGUCUUGAAAUACUGGGAUUUCAAAGAGAAAUGGUGGCGUGAGAGGGAAUAAGGCACCACCGAGGAUUUU
This is a long non-coding RNA of Ahaetulla prasina, 981 nucleotides long. RefSeq lists it as uncharacterized. The record is from RefSeq and is a predicted model, not a curated record. The transcript has 3 exons. NCBI's taxonomy places the organism in Eukaryota, Metazoa, Chordata, Lepidosauria, Squamata, Colubridae.